This 5068-nucleotide small RNA is filed under the name Rattus norvegicus (Norway rat). RNAcentral's name for it is "uncharacterized LOC102549328". The record is from RNAcentral. Lineage: Eukaryota; Metazoa; Chordata; Mammalia; Rodentia; Muridae.
UUUUUUUUAGGGGGGUGAGGCGUAGGGGGUGCUGAUGGUGUGAGAGGUCCGGUCUGACUUGAAGACACCCUGCCCUAGGUACCAGCUGGAGAUGUUCUGUCACUUCCAGGACGUUGAAGGUAGAGGGAGUCACUUGAGGGUUUCUGCUGUCCUUGCCACCGGAUGAUUUUGCUACUUUGCUUACAGGUGUUGGCGCUUUACUUCUUGCAACUGUCUGCUUGUUUCCUUCCUGAGAUUUCCAAAGCCCGUAGUUUUAUCUUCAUAAAUAAGGAGUCGCUGAAGCUGGUGUGGCCAGACUGGGCUCUACCGGUUCCAGAAUCCAAGUCCUUAGUUUUAUAUCUAAACAAAUACCUAAAACCCCCUUCCCAGGCUUCGGUUAGCACUUCCUUUUAGAUUCACAAAUGAGCGAUACACAGAAGCAGACACAACGCUACUGUCCUCGCUCCCUAGACUUCACUCGUUUAUCUCCUGGAUAUCCUUGGGGUCUGGCAGCUUCCCUCGGGCUUCAGUAUCCCAGUACAGAACUUGCCUGACUGUAGCUCAAAAGAGCCCGACAUCUGUCCAAUUAUCUACUCUCAUUUUCCUCCAAGGCAUUUUUUUUUUUUACACAAGAAACCCUAAAUAUAGAGAACUCUUAAAAUCUGGACUAGAGUGGGGAGACAGAACAAAGACCUUAAAAACUAUUAAAAACAAAAAAGCCCGCUCAUCUCAGACUCCCCACCCUCAAGCCUGGCAUGACUGAGGUUCAGGUUGCCUAAUCACAUAAGAACGUGGGGCUUUCUCCUAAUGGAGUUGAUAUCAGUUGUGUGAAGGAUGAAAACACUGAGGUGUAAGUGUUGAAUUUGAGCACUUUAGCUAGUGUGUUCUAUCAUGUUUUCCUUAACAUUAAUGGUUGGUAUAGAAAACACAGGGUUCCCUUACCUUUUCAUGCACAGAAUCAUUCCACAUGACCCAACCUCCUUCAGAUAUAAUCCCUGUUCUGCUUCCUUGCCGCUUAUGUCGCCUUAGUAUUUGAAGCCAGGCUGAAUUUUGUCAGGGAUACAGAAGGUCUGUCCAUUCCCAGUUUGGGGCAUUGCUUAUUGGUGGAGACUGCUGCCUUGUAUCUGUUUCAGGUGUGGGAAUGGGGAGAAGGAAAAUAGAGGUAGUAAUUAGGAGGAGGAGUAGAGGUUGAACAGCAAAAGGCAGAGCAGAGAGACAGGACGUGCCAUGUGGACUUGGCUUCCACUUAAAGCCGCCUUCAUUCUCUGAAGAGAAGAAGGGUAACAUGCAACUAAGCUAACCAUACUCCAUGUAACAGGUCAAAACUUAGCUCUGGUGGACAGCGACACCUGGGACUCAUUUGCUGUUUUCAAAAUUCUUUUCUGAAAGACCUGAAUCCAGCAUACUCACCGUUUGUAUUUGGAGGAACACGUGGCUGGAACGGAUUCUGGAAUCAUCCUUUGAUACCUAAAAUGGGUGUGCAAGUUGACAGUGGACAAGAAGGCGUCUGGGAUUGAUGGAUCAGAUGAUGGGUCUGUGAAGACAAUGAAGCCAGGAAUUCCCAGUGAGCCCAGCCAGCCAUGCCUGAUCCAUCAAGGGAGGUAGGCCAAGGGAGCUUCAUGAACUGGCCCCCGCCAUGGAUCCCCAGAUCAUGCCAGGGAAACACUGGUCUGCCAGGUGGAGAAGAAGGGACGAUCUGCUUUGUCCUCCUGAUUCAUGGCGGUCAAAAUAAGCUGAGCUUCUCUCAGUUUCUUCCUAGCUGGGCCCUCACUGAGGACAAGACUCGAGUCAUCCAUGUUCUACGUGAUGUCUAAACCAUUCCGACCUUUGCUCUCCACCUCUAACCCCGCUGCUUCCCUCCUCAACGUCUGACUCUGAUUCCAUCUUCACCCUGGGUUACCAUGACUACCCCAAACAUGAGCUCCACAAUCUCUCGGGGUCCUCAGCUGCCCACCUUCAGUCUUGGGACCUGUGUGACUUCUCCCUGUGUGAAGAGGAGCUCCUCUGCCCUCCCGGUGUGGUACUGCACUGCUGUCACACUUUCUUACCCCUCAUCCCUUCCCUCCCCUCCGCCACUGGCUCAACUGCACGGCUGAGUGGGGAUGAACCUCGAGGACGUUAGGGCAAGGAAGCCAUGGCGGUGUAAAGUUACACACCCAACCACUGCAUUUCAAGGUGUGAUCCACGCAGUGCUGAGGCACAACAUGCAAACCAAUAAAGAUCUUUCUACACAAUUGAAAGAGAAGAAGGAAUCACAGGAGAACGCCGUGUGCACAGGUCGGCCCUUCCCGAGAUCUGAGUUUGGUGACUGGGAUCUCUCCGGAUCUAGAAAUAAGCCACCUGGUUGUGGCCUACCAGACUGUUGUGUGAGUCUCAGGUCCUGUAACAAGAAGAGAAUACGCACACGGGAGCGCUUGGAUGUGCACAAAGGCAAGUGCUGCUCCAUAGAGAGAAAUGCAGUCAUUAGAAUGAACGCCCUUGGCUUGUUUAAUGUUUAAUAUGUACAGCUUUUAGGUAUGAUCUCUAUAGCCUGUUCACAUAUGAUCUUGACUCUCAAUCACCAUCCAGAUUCAAAAGGAACUGGAAGUUUGAAAAAUAGCUUUUAAUAACAAAGUUUACAAAAAGCUCUCAAGGUUGGAACACAUCACUAACAUGUGCUCAGAGACCAAAGAGAUCGAAUGGCUUGACUCUGCUGAGAGAGAGACUUGGCCAGUGUGCUUCUAAGAGGCAGAGAGGAGGAGGCCCACCCUCGGGGAGGACAUAUUUGCUUACAUGAAUCCAGCCUAUAGUGAGCAGCCCCAGUUCCUCCUGAAUCAUAAACAGCUCUCCUCAUUCUUCGUGUGACAAUAAUCAGGGCCUCUGUCUUGCUCUGGGAUAAUCACAUGUCUUAUGAGGUACACUUCUCUCACCUGCCAUGAGAAAACUUGUCACAAUUUCCUGGGGGCCAUAAUGACCCACAGUGGGCAGAAAUUUUCUUCUCCAAGUCGGGCCAGGGCUGACUGGGAGCUGUGACUGUGGACUUUGCUCUCAGCUUGAGUGGAUGGAGUGAUAUUUCUGGAUUUGACUGUGAAGUGAUUCUGAAGAAACUUAUGUGUGGUUCACAGACUCGGUAGGCAAGGCCCACCCUUCACUCAGGCAGCAAUGUGAAGCCAUCUGAGAGCCGCACUGGGAGAAGCAGUGUGGAGCAGACACUUCCUCUGCGUCUCCUGGGAUAGACAUGCUUGCUUUAGCUUUCUUCAUCAGAUAUCCAAGUCUGUUCACUCUGAGGAGUGAGCGUGUGGUUCUCUAGUCUCUUCAGAUUCUCAGACUGAGACUCACAAAAGUGGCUUCCCUGGUCUGUGCCUUUCAGACAUGGGCUGCGCCAAGCUACAGUAUUCCAGAGUGUCCGCCUGAAGAAAGCCUGCUGUGGGGAUGCUCAGGCAUAUUGCCACAGAAUGUCCCCAGUAGAGCGAUGCUGUAGGGACGGGGCAGCCCCUCGAGGCCCUGGAACUGCAGGGCGAUCAUGCGCUCAUGCAGCCUGGCAAAGCUGCAGCCCGAGACUCCAACUGUGAAAGCGAAUGUGCACUGAGCCCAGCACAGCCACAGCGGCAGGUCCUCAGCUUAGCUGGAGUCAGUCACCCCUCUCCCGAUUAUUUCUCCCAGAUGAACAGGAACUGAACAGCUGGCUCCUGCUCCUUCAUCACAUUUUGCCAGUGUGUGCUCUUCUGACUGCACAGGCUCACGGCUGCAGAAGGCUAACUCAUCAUCAGGAAGCCUGGUGGUUACAGCCAGGCAAGGCUGAUCAUCUCACCUGUGUCUAAUUGAGACAGCACUACAGUUAGAAGACUGUCCUCAUCCAAGAUGAAGUUUUUGACUCAUUCAAGUCAAAGGCCAUUUUUAUAAAUUAGGGUGGCAGGACACAAAAGGACAGCACUCAUCACACGAGGUUCUGCACCACAGCAGAAUAAGCAGGACCAUGGAAGCAGAGGAGACUGAGGACGUGGACGGGGGACGCAGCCUUCUCUGUGGUGCUCAGUGCCCCAGACUUCAGACACAUGUCCACCAGCACUGCCUGGCCUUACCAGUGAGCCCCAGUCUCACGCUGUGUGGCUGACCCAGACGCAUUGGGGACCACUUCUGCACAAGGCUUUUCCAAGGCAGGAACCUGUGGUAACUUACCUGGCCUUGUUUUCAUCACACUCCCCCAGGCUGAGUGGCUGAUGUGGGACUAAGUCGUCGUCAGAGGCUUCCUCUGGGCCACACCCCAGUGGUGGCUUGAAAGGUGCGGUUCCUGCUGAAGAGGCUUCAGCCUUUGUAGAUGACCAUGCUGCACCAGGGCGCACGCCCGCGCGCGCACACACACACACACAUACACACUUUCUUCCUCACUACCCACUAGCCCAGCUGUGUGAGAGCCCCCUUUGGCAAAUCCUUCUAAGGUUUUUGUAGAACAGUUUUGAUAUCUUCCCAGAAAGCAGCAUUCUAUGCCACUUCCUAUCUAAUACAGAAAGAGAAAAGUAUUUAGGCUAACACUUCAAAUCUCGGAAGAAAAAGCAUAGUCAGCACAGAGAUGACCAAAACAUAGUCCAGGCCCGACAUCACAGCAUAGAAUCUGUGCUCCCCUCUGUAACCAUAAGCAUAAUGGCGCCGUGGUACACAGAUGCUACCCAUGUACUCAGUGGCUAUAUGGCUGUCUUCUGUAACAGCUAAGUCUCAAUUUUCUCAGGAAUCUACUUCGCUCUGUGUGUGCACACUUGUGCCUGUGUGUGUGUGAUCACGUGCACGUACAUAUGUGCAAGCGAGAGCGGAGGUUAGACAUAGAUUUUUUUGGUAUGUACUUCCAAUGUGGUCUACCUUAUUUUCUCUGGGAAAGGGUCUUUAAUUAAUCUGAAACUCUCACAGUCGGCCUGGCUGGCUGGCCAGUGAGCCCCAGGAGUUGACCCAACCUGUAAUUGCCUCCUUAGUAUUGUGGCUAUCAGCACUUAUAACUCUGCACGUGUUUUUAUUAUCAUUAUCCUCGUUAAUUCUUGAACUCUUGGGUCCUCAUGCUUGCCUGACUAGCCCUUUAUGGACUGAAUGUCUCCAGCCUUCAUUUAAAGCUUCACUCUAA